GCGUUGCUCGGAAUCACUGGGCGUAAAGGGUGCGUAGGCGGGUCUUUAAGUCAGGGGUGAAAUCCUGGAGCUCAACUCCAGAACUGCCUUUGAUACUGAGGAUCUUGAGUAUGGGAGAGGUGAGUGGAACUGCGAAUGGAGAGGUGAAAUUCGUAGAGAUUCGCAAGAACACCAGUGGCGAAGGCGGCUCACUGGCCCAUUACUGACGCUGAGGCACGAAAGCGUG
RNAcentral lists this ribosomal RNA (226 nucleotides) under uncultured bacterium. RNAcentral describes it as "partial 16S ribosomal RNA". It matches the Rfam family "Bacterial small subunit ribosomal RNA", at positions 538 to 763 of the family's 1533-position model. The record is from RNAcentral.